RNAcentral lists this long non-coding RNA (273 nucleotides) under Gossypium barbadense (sea-island cotton). RNAcentral describes it as "long non-coding RNA (GBAR_LNC015616)". Lineage: Eukaryota; Viridiplantae; Streptophyta; Magnoliopsida; Malvales; Malvaceae. The record is from RNAcentral.
UGCCAAUCAAUAUGUUUAUAACAGUUCGAUAUAAUAGCAAAUAAUAUAUUAUAACAGAUCAAUUUGGUGGCAAAAGUCAUGCUUAUUAUGUGUUCGGUUUAACAGUAACAUAAGGCAUGUUGUACGUACAAUCUCAAAUACCGAUACAAUAGACAAUGUAUUGAUCACAAUUCAUGCAAAUAUAUAUAAUAUUACUCUAGUCAAUCAAAUCAUGGAUUCUAACAUUAUUCAUAUCACCAAGGACUUGAUUGAAUAAAAUAAAACACUAAAAAU